GAUGAACGCUGGCGGCGUGCCUAAUACAUGCAAGUCGAGCGAACAGACGAGGAGCUUGCUCCUCUGACGUUAGCUGCGGACGGGUGAGUAACACGUGGAUAACCUACCUAUAAGACUGGGAUAACUUCGGGAAACCGGAGCUAAUACCGGUUAACAUUUUGAACCGCAUGGUUCAACAGUGAAAGACGGUCUUGCUGUCACUUAUAGAUGGAUCCGCGCCGCAUUAGCUAGUUGGUAAGGUAACGGCUUACCAAGGCAACGAUGCGUAGCCGACCUGAGAGGGUGAUCGGCCACACUGGAACUGAGACACGGUCCAGACUACUACGGGAGGCAGCAGUAGGGAAUCUUACGCAAUGGGCGAAAGCCUGACGGAGCAACGCCGCGUGAGGGAAGAAGGUAUUCGGAUCGUAAAACUCUGUUAUUAGGGAAGAACAAAUGUGUAAGUAACUAUGCACGUCUUGACGGUACCUAAUCAGAAAGCCACGGCUAACUACGUG
RNAcentral lists this ribosomal RNA (497 nucleotides) under uncultured bacterium. RNAcentral's name for it is "partial 16S ribosomal RNA". It matches the Rfam family "Bacterial small subunit ribosomal RNA", at positions 28 to 507 of the family's 1533-position model. The record is from RNAcentral.